Callithrix jacchus (white-tufted-ear marmoset) is the source of this 24365-nucleotide non-coding RNA. NCBI's taxonomy places the organism in Eukaryota, Metazoa, Chordata, Mammalia, Primates, Cebidae. The record is from RefSeq and is a predicted model, not a curated record.
UUGCUGUCUCCAUUCCCAUCACCUAUAUCUGGCAUUUCUCCCAAUGUUACCCCUCUCCAACUCCCUACCCCCCACUGUCCCUUCCCUAGUCCCCCACAACAGACCCCAGUGUGUGAUGCUCCCCUCCCUGUGUCCAUGUGUUCUCAUACUUCAACACCUGCCUAUGAGUGAGAACAUGUGGUGUUUGAUGUUCUGUUCUUGUGUCAGUUUUCUGAGAAUGAUGGUUUCCAGGCUCAUCCAUGUCCCUACAAAGGACACAAACUCAUCAUUUUUUAUGACUGCGUAGUAUUCCAUGGUGUAUACGUGCCACAUUUUUCCUGUCCAGUCUAUCAUCGAUGGUCAUUUGGGUUGGUUUCAAGUCUUUGCUAUUGUAAACAGUGCUGCAAUGAACAUACAUGAGCAUGUGUCCUUAUAGUAGAACAAUUUAUAAUCCUUUGCACAUUGAUUUUGUAUCCUGAGACUUUGCUUUUCAGUUUAAGGAGAUUUUGGGCUGAGACGAAGGGGUCCUCUAGAUAUACAAUCAUGCCGUCUGCAAAUAGACAAUUCGACUUCCUCCUUUCCUAUUUGAAUACGCUUUAUUUCUUUUUCUUGCCUGAUUGCUCUGGCUAGAACUUCCAGUACUAUAUUGAAUAGGAGUGGUGAGAGAGGGCAUUCUUGUCUAGUGCCAGAUUUCAAUGGGAGUGCUUCCAGUUUUUACCCAUUCAGUAUGAUAUUGGCUGUGGGUUUCUUGUAAAUAGCUUUUAUUAUUUUAAGAUAUGUUCUGUUGAUACCUAGUUUAUUGAGAGUUUUUAGCAUAAAGCACUGUUGAAUUUUGUCAAUUGCCUUCUCUGCAUCUAUUGAGAUAAUCAUGUGGUUUUUGUCUUUGGUUCUGGUUAUGUGGUGAAUUACAUUUAUAGACUUGCGUAUGUUGAACCAGCCUUGCAUCCCCAGGAUGAAUCCCGCUUGAUCAUGAUGGAUAAGCUUUUUGAUGUGCUGUUGCAAUUGGUUUGCCAGUAUUUUAUUGAAGAUUUUUGUAUCUAUGUUCAUCAUUGAUAUUGGACUGAAAUUUUCUUUCCUUGUUGAGUCUCUGCUGGGUUUUGGUAUCAGGAUGAUGUUGGUUUCAUAAAAAGAUUUGGGAAAGAGUCCCUCUUUUUGGAUUGUUAGGAAUAGUUUCAGAAGGAAUGGUACCAGCUUCUCUUUGUAUGUCUGGUAGAAUUUGGCUGUGAACCCAUCUGGACCUGGACUUUUUUUGGUUGGUAGGCUAUUAAUUGCUGCCUCAACUUCAGCCCAUGUUAUUGGUCUAUUCAGGGUUUCAGCUUCUUCCUGGUUUAGGCUUGGGAGUGUGCAAGUGUCCAGGAAUUUAUCAAUUUCUUCCAGGUUUACUGGUUUAUGUGAAUAGAGUUGUUUGUAGUAAUAAUCUCUGAUGGUGCUUUUAUUUCUGUGGAAUCUGUGGUGAUAUCCCCUUUAUCAUUUUUUAUUGAAUCUAUUUGAUUAUUCUCUCUUUUCUUUUUUAUUAAUCUGGCUAGCAGUCUGUCUAUUUUGUUGAUCUUUAAAAAAAAACAGCUCCUAGAUUUAUUGAUUUUUUGAAGUGUUUUUUGUGUCUCUAUCUCCUUCAGUUCUGCUCUGAUCUUAAUUAUUUCUUGUCUUGUGCUGGGUUUUGAGUUUUUUUUUAAUCUUUCUCCUCUAGCUCUUUCAAUUUUGAUGAUAGGGUGUCAAUUUUGGAUCUCUCCACUCUUCUCAUGUGGGCACUUAUUGCUAUAUAUUUUCCUCUAGAGACUGCUUUAAAUGUGUCCCAGAGAUUCUGGUACGUUGUGUCUUCGUUCUUGUUGGUUUCGAAGAACAUCUUUAUUUCUGCCUUCAUUUCAUUGUUUAUCCAGUCAACAUUCAAGAGCCAGUUGUUCAGUUUUCAUGAAGCUGUGUGGUUCUGGGUUAGUUUCUGAAUUCUGAGUUCUAAUUUGAUUACACUGUGGUCUGAGAGACUGUUUGUUAUGACUUCAGUUGUUUUGCAUUUGCUGAGUAGUGAUUUACUUCCAAUUAUGUGGUCAAUUUUAGAGUAGGUGUGAUGUGGUGCUAAGAAGAACGUAUAUUCUGUGGAUUUGGGGUGGAGAGUUCUGUAAAUGUCUAUUAGGUUUGCUUGGUCCAGUUAUGAGUUCAAGUCCUGGAUAUCCUUGUUAAUUUUCUGUCUCAUUGAUCUGUCUAAUAUUGACAGUGGAGUGUUAAAGUCUCCCACUAUUAUUAUGUGGGAAUCUAAAUCUCUUUGUAGGUCAUUAAGAACUUGCCUUAUGUAUCUGGGUGCUCCUAUAUUGGGCAUGUAUAUAUUUAGGAUCAUUAGCUCUUCUUGAUGCAUUGAUCAUUUUACCAUUAUGUAAUACCCUUCUUUGUCUCUUUUGAUCUUUGUUGGUUUAAAGUCCAUUUUAUCAGAGACUAGGAUUGCAACUCCUGCUUUUUGUUGCUCUCCAUUUGCUUGGUAGAUCUUUCUCCACCCCUUUAUUUUGAGCCUAUGUGUAUCCUUGCAUGUGAGAUUGGUUUCCUGGAUACAGCACACCGAUGGAUUUUGACUUUUUAUCCAAUUUGCUAGUCUGUGUCUUUUGAUUGGAGCAUUUAACCCAUUUAUAUUUAAGGUUAAUUUUGUCAUGUGUGAAUUUGAUCCUGCUAUUUUGAUGCUGCUGGUUGUUUUGCCCAUUAGUUGACACAGUUUCUUCAUUAUCUUGAUGCUCUUUACCAUUUGGUAUGUUUUUGGAGUGGCUGGUACUGGUUGUUCCUUUCUAUGUUUAGUGCUUCUUUCAGGAGCUCAUGUAAGACAGGCCUGGUGGUGAUGAAAUCUCUGCACAAUUGCUUGUUCAUAAAGGAUUUUAUUUCUCCUUUGCUUAUGAAGCUUAGUUUGGCUGGAUAUGAAGUUCUAGGUUGAAAGUUCUUUUCUUUAAGGAUGUUGAAAAUUGGUCCCCACUCUCUUCUAGCUUGUAGGGUUUCUGCUGAGAGAUCCACUGUGAGUCUGAUGGGCUUCUCUUUAUGGGUAACCCAAUCUUUCUCUCUGGCUGUACUUAGCAUUUUUUCCUUCAUUUCAACCUUGGUGAAUCUGAUGAUUAUGUGCCUUGGGGUUGCUCUUCUUGAGGAAUAUCUUUGUGGUGUUCUCUGUAUUUCCUGGGCUUAAAUGUUGGCCUGCCUUGCUAGGUUGGGGAAGUUCUCCUGGUUAAUAUCCUGAAGAGUGUUUUCCAGCUUGGAUUCAUUGUCUUUAUCACAUUCAGGUGCACCUAUCAAAUGUAGAUUAGGUCUUUUCACAUAAGCUCAUAUUUCUUGGAGGCUUUGUUCAUUUCUUUUUACUCCUUUUUCUCUAAUCUUGCCUUCUCGUUUUAUUUCAUUGAGUUGAUCUUCAAUCUCUGAUAUCCUUUCUUCUGCUUAGUCGAUUCAGGUACUGAAACAUGUAUAUGCUUUGUGAAGUUCUUGUGUUGUGUUUUUCAGCUCCAUCAAUUCAUUUAUAUUCCUCUCUAAGCUGUUUAUUCUUGUUAGCAUUUCAUCAAACCUUUUUUCAAGGUUCUUAGUUAUUUUACAUUGGGUUAGAACAUGAUCUUUUAGCUCAGAGAAGUUUGUUAUUAUCCACCUUCUGAAGCCUGUUUCUGUCAAUUCAUCAGACUCAUUCUCGGUCCAGCCUUGUUCCCUUGCUGGUGAGGAGUUGUGAUCCCUUGGAGGAGGAGAGGCGUUCUGGUUUUGGGUAUUUUCAUCCUUUUUGCCCUGGUUUCUUCCCAUCUUUGUGGCUUUAUCUACUUGUGGUCUUUGUGGUUGGUGACUUUCAGAUGGGGUCUCUGAGUGGACAUCCUUUUUGUUGAUCAUGAAGUUAUUUCUUUCGGUUUCUUAGUUUUCCUUCUAACAGUCAGGCCCCCCACUGCUUGUAAGACUGCUGGAGGUCCACUCCAGAUGCUGCUUGCCUGGGGAUCACCUGCAGCAGCUGCAGAAAAGUAAGGGUUGCUGCCAGUUUCUUCUUCUGUUAUCUUUGUCCCAGAAGGACACCUGCCAGAUGUCAGCCUUAGCUCUCCUUUAUGAGGUGUCUCUUUGGUUAUAUGUGGGUCAGGGAGCUGUUUGGGGAGACAGUCUGUCCCUUCUAGGAACUCAAGUGCUGAGCUGUGAGCUCUGUUGCUUGUUCAGAGCUGCACAGCAGGUACAUUUAAGUUGGAACUCAUAACUGCUUUUUUUUUCUGGUCCAGUUAAGGUGGGGCUUUAUUUAUAAGUUCCUGUCAUUCUGCUGCCUUUUUUCAGAGAUACCCUGUCCAUUGAGGAGGUAGCCUAGUGUGGGGAACCCAACUGUGUGAAUAUUUGCAAAGAGAAUUCCACAAUACAGAUGGUUUUGAGCCCAGACACAGGGACACCUGAAAGAGGGAAGUUGAGAUAACAUUGAAUCAGGGACAGACAAAGGAGAAUCUCUUUAAAAGAUAAUCAGAUGGUUGAAACCAGAAACACCUGCAGUCAUGAGGAACAAUGUCUGGAUAAGUUUUGUGAUCACAAGGGAUUUCCAUUACCUUUUAUGACAUUGAUUAUGUACCUGUCAUCUUUAUUGUGUAGGGCAUGUGAUGUAUCUAUCUGCUUUUCCCCUUGCAAUACGUAAACCAGAGCCUGGAAAAAUGUAUAUAAUUGAAGACUUUGAGAAAUAAAGCUGUUGUUGGAGCACUAACUCCUCAACCCUCCUGACCCCACUUCACUGUCUCCUUUUCUUCCUGUGCACCCUCCACUCUGGUUGGAAUCCUCUUGCUGGACAAGAAUUCCCUCCAGAGCCUAGUCACAGUCUGCCAGCAGAGGCAUUGCUGAGCUGCCAUGGGCUCUGCCCAGCUACUGUGAACUUCCUUGCAGUUUUGUUUAUCAGGGUAUGGUUAGAACUGCCUCAGUAAUGGCAUUCUGCCUCAGUAAUGGUGGACUCUCUCUGCAAUGGCAGACUGCCUCGGUAAUGGUGAACUACCUCGGUAAUGGUGAACUACCUCGGUAAUGGUGGACUGCCUCAAUAAUGGCAGACUGCCUCAGUAGUGGUGGAUUGCCUCUGUAAUGGUGGACCCCCAUUCUCCCACAGAGCUGAACCGUCCUGUAUCCAGCUGUGCUUGCUGUGAAACUCUCAAUCCAGAGUAUGUCAGAUUGCUGGUCUUUGUGGGGGUGAGACCAGCUGAACUAGAUCACCUGGCUCCCGGUUUUAGCCCCCUUUUUUUCAGUUGAACGGGCAACUCUGUCUCCCAGGCAUUCUAGUCGCCAGUCGAAAUGGUGCCCAGAUUUGUGUGAGUUUUUGUGCAGAGACUCGCUGCACCAGCUGAAACAGCCAUGCUGGAGACUUGUGGUGCUUUUCUGCCCAGGAAUCUCCUGGUCUCUGGGCAGUAAAAAUUUGUUUGGAAAUGCGGUGAUCAUUUACCCUCUGCAUUUUCACUGGGAACUGAAAUCCAGAGCUAUUCCUAUUUGGCCAUCUUGGAUCCUCUUAUUUCUUAAAUUGACUUGUCACAUACUAGUUCAUUUAAUUGAUCUUUACAAUAAACCAGUAUCUGGUUUUAUUGAUUAAAUCUAUUAUUUUUCUUUUCUUUUCUUUUUUCUUUUGAGGCAGCGUUUCACUCUGUUGCCCAGGCUAGAGUGCAAUGGCAAGAUCUUGGUUCACUGCAGCCUGAACCUCCCAGGCUCAAGCAAUUCUCCUGCCUCAGACUCCCAAGUAGCUGGGAUUACAGGUGCAUGCUACCACACCUGGCUAAUUUUUGUAUUUUUAGUAGAGAUGGGGUUUCACCAUGUUGGCCAGGCUGGUCUUAAAUGCCUAACCUCAAAUGAUCCACCUGUCUUGGCCUCCAAAGUGCUGGGGUUACAGGCAUGAGCCACCAUGCCCGGCCUGUUUUUAUUUUUCUUUUAUUGAUUUCCUGUUAUUACUAGCCUGAUUUUUAUCUUUGAGGUUUUUUUUUCCAUAGCUUCUUGAGUUAAAAGCCUCUUGUAUUUUCAGUCUUUCUGGUUUUCCAAUAAAUGAAUUUAACAUCAUAAAAUUUCAUCCAAAUUCUCCUUUGUUUGCAUCCCACAUAUUUAUAAUGUCAUCCAUUUCUAAUAGCCUGUAUUUUUAAUUUUAUGUUUUCUGUCAUUGAAUAGUUACUUAGAAGCAUGUUUUAAAUUUUUCAUAGGUAUAAUACCCUCCUCUCACUAUCCUGUUAAUUUUUUCACUGAUUUUAUGAUGCUGUGGCCAGACAUUCUCUGGUCCACAUGAUUUCUGCUUUUCAGGAAUCCUUUUGUUCCUCUGAAAUUCUUGCACAUGGUUAAUCUACUUUUAUUUAGAUGUUGUGUAGUCACACUUAUUUAAUCUCUCAAUUUCUGAGAAAAGUGUAUUCAUGUAAUUACUAAGGUUGUGGAUUUGUUUCUUUUCUUUUUUUUUUUUUUUGAGAUGGAGUCUUGCUCUGUUGCCUAGGCUGGAGUGCAGUGGUGUGAUCUCUGCUCACUGCAACCUCCACCUCCUGGGUUCAAGUGAUUCUCCUACCUCAGCCUCCCUAGUAGCUGGGAUUACAGGUGUGUGCCACCACACCUGGUUAAUUUUGUAUUUUUAGUAGAGACAGGGUUUUGCCAUGUUGGCCAGGCUGGCCAACUCCUGACCUCCAGUGAUCUACCCACCUCGGCCUCCCAAAGUGCUGGGAUUAGAGGUGUGAGCCACCAUGCCCAGCUCCUGUUAGUUUCUUUUAUUUCUACAAGUUUUCACUUAUUGCAUGUGUCAUAUGUAUAUACCUAUAUGUACAUAUAUAUUACUCUAUGUAUAUAUGUACUAUAUGUAUACACACAUAUGUAUAUAUUCAUAUAUAUCCACAUUUUAUACAUAUAUGUAUAUAUAUGCUUCUGUGUAUAUAUAUAUGGUAUAUGGCAUGUAUAUAUGUAUAUGGUAUAUAUGUAUAUAUGGUGGAUGUAGUUUGCCUCUGUGUCCCCACCCAAAUCUCAUUUCCAAUUGUAAUGCCCACGUGUUUGGGAAUGGGCCUGGUGAGAGGUGAUUGAAUCAUGCGGGCAGAUUUCCCCUUGCCCUUCUCAUGAUAGUGAGUGAGUUCUCACAGGCUGUUUGAAAAUGUGUGGCACUUCCCCCCAUUGCUCAAGCUCUCUCCUGCUCCAUGGUAAGACAUGCUUGCUUUCCUUUCACCUUCUACCACGAUUGUAAGUUUCCUGACACCUCCUUAGCCAUGCUGAACUGUGAGUCAAUUAAACCUCUUUUCUUCACGAAUUACCCACUCUCAGGUAGUUCUUUAUAACCCUGUGAAAACAGACUAAUACGAAUUAUGGUACCCAGAGUGGAGUACUGCUAUAAAGAUAUUUGAAAUUGUGGAGGUAACUUUGGAACUGGGUAAUGGGCAAAGGUUGCAAUAAUUUGGAGGGCUCAGAAAAAGAUAAAAAGAUAUAGGAAAGUUUGGUAUUUCCUAGAGGCUCAUUGAAUGGUUUUGACCAAAAUGCUGACAGUGAUAUGGAUAAUGAAGUUCAGGCUGAGGUGGUGUCAGAUGGUGAUAAGGAACUUAUUCAGAACUGGAGAUCAGGUUACUUUUGUUAUGCUUUAGUAAAGAGCCUGGUGGCAUUAUGCCUCUGCCCUAGAGAUCUGUAGAACUUUGAACUUGAGAGAGAUGAUUUAGGGUAUCUGGCAGAAGAAAAUUCCUAGACAGCAAAGCAUUCAGGAAGUAACCUGGCUGCUCCUAACAGCAUACAGUCAUAUAGGUUCACAAAGAGAUGGUUUGAAAUUGGAACUUUUGUUUAAAAGGGAAGCAAAGCAUAAUACAUUUGGAAAAUUUGCAGCCUAUGCAAUGUGGUAGAAAAGAAAAAUCCAUUUUCUGGGGGGAAAUUUGAGUCAGCUGUAGAAAUUUGCAUAAGAGAAGCCAAAUGUUAAUAGCCAGGACAAUGGGGAAAAUGUCUCCAGGGCAUUUCAGAGAGCUUCAUGGCAGCCCCUCCUGUCAUGGGUCCAGAGGCCUAGAAGGAAAAAAUGAUUUCAUGGCCUGGGCCCAGGAUCCCAAUGCUCUGUGUAGCCUUGGGGCAUGGCACCCUGUAUCCCAGCUGUUCCAGCUCCAUCUGUGGCUAAAAGAGGCUAAGGUGCAGCUUGGUCUCUAGCUUCAGGGGGUAUAGGCCCCAAGCCUUGGUGGUUUCUUUCUUUCCCUCCUUCCUUAUUUCUUUCUUAUUGAGAUGGAGUCUUGCUCUGUCACCCAGGUUGGAGUGCAGUGACGUGAUCUUGGCUCACUGAAACCUCUGCCUCCUGGGUUCAAAUGAUUCACCUGCCUCAGCCUCCCAAGUAGCUGGGAUUACAUGUGCCUGCCACCAUGGAUGGCUAACUUUUGUAUUUUUAGUAGAGACUGGGUUUCACCAUCAUGGCCAGGCUGGUCUUGAACUCCUGACCUUGUGAUCCACCCACCUCGGCCUCCCAAAGUCCUGGGAUUACAGGUGUGAGCCACUGUGCCUGGCCAGCAUUGAUGGUUUCUAUGUGAUGUUGGGCCUGCAGGUGAGCAGAAGGUAAGGAUUGAGGCUUGGAAAUCUCUGUGUAGAUUUUAGAGGAUGUAUGGAAAUGUCUGGAUGCCCAGGCAGAAGUCUGCUGCAGGGACAGAGCCCUCAUAGAUAACCUUGAGGGGAAAUGUGGGACUGGAACCCCUACACAAAGUUCCCACUGGGGCAAUGUCUGGUGGAGCUGUGAGAAGAAUGACACUGUCCUCCAGACCACAGAAUGGUAGAUCCACCAAACAGCUUGUACCAUGUGCCUAGAAAAGCCACAGGCACUCAAUACCAGCCUGCGAAGGCAGCCAAGGGGGCUGUACCCUGCAGAGCCACAAGGGUGGAGCUGCAUAGUGUCUUGGGAGUCCACCCCUUGCAUCAGCAUGUCCUGGAUGUGAUACAUGGAGUCAAAGGAGAUGAAUUUGGAGCUUUAAGAUUUAAUGACUACCCUGCUGGAUUUCAGACUUAUAUGGGGCACAUAGCCUGUUUGUUUUGGUCAAUUUCUCCCUUUUGGAAUAGGUGCAUUUAGCCAAUGCCUGCACCCAAGUCUAUCUUGGAAGUAACUAACUUGCUUUUGAUUUACAGGCUCAUAGGCAGAGGGGACUUGCCUUGUCUCAGAUGAGACUUUGUACUUGAACUUUUAAAUUAAUGUUGGAAUGAGACUUUUUAGAGGACUGAUGGGAAGGCAUAAUUCAUUUUGAAUGUGACAAGGACAUGAGAUUUGGGAGGGGCAAGGGGCAGAAUGAUAUGGUUUGGCUCUGUGUCACCACCCAAAUCUCAUCUUGAUUGUAAUCUCCAUGUGUCAGGGGAGGGGCCUUGUAGGAGGAGAUUGCGUCAUGGGGGUGAAUUUCCUCCUUGCUGUUCUCACGAUAGUGACUGAGUUCUCACAAGAUUUAAUCAUUUGAAAGUGUGUGGCACUUCCCCCUUUGUUCUCUCUCUCUCUCUCUCUCGUUCUGCCAUGGUAAGAUGUGCCUGCUUCCCAUUUGUCUUCUGCCAUGAUUGCAAGUUGCCUGAGGGCUCCUUGCCAUGCUUUCUGUUAAGCCUGGGGAACUGUGACUCAAUUAAACCUCUUUUAUUCAGUCUCAGGUAGUUCUUUAUAGCAGUAUGAAAAUGGACUAACACAGUGGUAUAUAUAUGUAUAUGAUAUAAACACAUAUAUGUAUAAAAUGUAAAAAUUUGUGUGUGUGUGUGUGUGUGUGUGUGUGUGUGUGUGUGUAUGCUAGGUGCUUAACUGCUCAUUAUUGUUUUAUCUUUUUGGGAGAUUGUAACUUUUUCUCCAUAGGUAAAUAUCCAUUAAGAAUUAUUUAGACUUCAUUCUAAAUGGCUGUUCUGUUUUGGGUUCUGCUGAAGUUAAAUAAAACGUGUAGUGACAAAUCUCUAAAUUUAAUGUUUUACUUGGGAUACAAGCAUUGCAACUUGGGGCAUACACACAGGUGGGUGUCUGCCCAUUCAGCAUGUCUGAGGAAUAAAAAGGAGGUUGCAGUUUUUAUAAAAAGGAGAAAUAUUGUGUGUUGCUCUUUGAGAAAGCUCAUCGGCACUAGCAAAGUUAGGGGCAGCUGGAAAGCUCUGAUUGGUGAGUGACAGUGGCAGUCAUUAGUCUUAGAGUUGUAGCAGGUUGUGUCAGUAGCAGUUAGAUAGAACUAUCUCAGGCUAUAGCAGGCAACCUCAGCAGCCAAGCAUUCAGAAAAGUAUGUUCUUGGAGCAAUGUCAUGUGCCCUGAGUGCAUUUUCCUCUGGCUUAUCGAUUUAUUUUAAUUGGUUAUGACAAGAGUGACCUAAUUCAUAUGACCAACUUUCACAACUCCCCCUUUUGAUCAAGAUCUUUCUCUGAAGCAGCACUGAUCAACCCUUUUGAAGUUAGGCUUAAUGUUCCUUCAGUGCCAGGGUGGAUCUGUCACAGUUGUCUCUGUCCCAUGUCAGUGUUAAGAUAGGGAGGGCUAUAUAAAGGUCCUAGACCACAUUUGAGUAACAAAAAGGCCAGAAGGAAAAAUCUUCUCAGGACAGGUUUGUUUGGAAUCCAACAUCAAGUUCCAUAUGGUCAGUUCCAAAGGCAUCAGCAAUCAUCUUGAAGCCCUGGGCCAAUAUCCUACUAAGAAAGUUGGCUUUACAAGGGUUAGACAGGCUAUAAGAACAAAGCUUUAAAACUAUGCUACAAAAAUAAUCAGCAACUAUAUGAUGAAUCCACUUUGUAUAACAGUUCAAAGUCAUGAGUCUAAUUUUGAAGGUAACCAACUGAAAAGAUAAAAAUUCCAGACAUAUCUGGUGAGACUUGCUGUAGCUACUGAGUAGCAUUUUAUGGCUGGGUUGAAUCAAUGUGGAGAAUGCCAAUAUUACCAAAGAGACCACCAAUACAAUUAGAACAAAAAGUUAUGUUAGGGAUAUUUUCAAAGUUUCCCACUAUAUGAACGAAAAUAAUUUUUUUUUUUGAGACAGUGUCUUAGUCUUGCUCAGUCACACAGACUGGGGUGCAAUGGUGCAAGCUCGGCUCACUGCAACCUCCACCUCCUGGGUUCAAGCAAUUCUUGUGCCUCAGCUUCCCAAGUAGCUGGGAUUACAGGUGUGUACCACCACACCCAGCUAACUUUUGUGUUUUAGUGGAGAAGGGGUCUCGAACUCCUGGCCUCAAGUGAUCUGCCUGCCUUGGCCUCCUAAACUGCUGGGAUUAUAGAAAUGAGCCACUGCAUCCAGCGUAAUAAUUUUUUAGGUCAGAUUUUGUCAAGUUACCAGCAGAAGCUACUGAUUGUGAAAUUUUAAUUAUACCAUUAUCCUGUCAAGUGAAAAAGAUAGUAUGAAGGUGGAUAAAAGUCUCAUUAUUAUAGAGAGUCUUGUUCUGAAGUCUUAGGAAAAAGUGUUUACAGUGUGGAAAAUGUCAACUUUUCACUCUGAUUUGCAGUUUGAAUGUCUCUUGUUACAUGGCAUUGGCAGUGUGGUGAACUUUCUCUGUGGCUCAUACAUCAAGCAUGACACUCGUUCCCUAAAUUCAUCUAGUUUUAGCUGAUAGGAGAUGUUCCCAUUUUACUGCCUUUAUGGAAGAAAGUGAGAACAGAGGAAUGUAGCAGAAUUUCGAAAUGUACAGAGCUGCAAUCUAAUAACAGUUGUAUUAGAGCUCUCCUUUAGAGACAUGAUUUCCCCCCACCCACAUUGACCUUAUCGGAAUCUCAGAUUUAAAAACCUCUUGAAAUUAGGAAGCCAAACUGAGGCAAAGUUUAGAUUUUACUUACUGUCUUAGGGUUCCUGGGCCUGCCAGGAAGUGAGUGAUAGUUUUUAUUUACCUACUAUAAGACUGAGAACCAUUGAAGUCAGACAAUGUACGCAUAUUUUGUUUUUAUUUAUUUUUUUAGAGACAGAGGCUCACUCUGUCAGCUAGGAAGGAGUACAGUGGCACAAUUAUAGCUCACUGAAGCCUUGAAUUCCUGUGAUCAAGUGAUCCUCCCACCUCAGAAUCUGAAGUAGGCUUGAGUACAGUGACUUGAUCAUAGCUCACUGCAACCUUGAACUCCUGUGCUCAAGUGAUCCUUCUGCCUCAGCCUCCCAAGUCGCUGGAACUACAGGCAAACAUCAUCAUGUCCAGGUAUUUAAAAACAAUUUUUGUAGAGAUCUUGUCCAGGCUGCUCUUGAACUCCUGGGCUCAAGCAGUCUUCGUGUCUUGGCCUCCCAAAGCAUUGGGAUUACAGGCAUGAGCUACUGCAUCUCAUCCAUGUUUUAUUACAUAAGACACAACAUGCAACAUAAUACAUAUACAUAUGAAUAAACAACAUAUGAAUAAAAACCUAAAGAUUUUAUAGUUUUUAUUUUAGAAUUUUAAUCAUCAGAUAGGAAAACAUAUAAACUCACCAGUUUACAAAAGAUAUAUCCAAAUUAUUUUUCUAACAAAAUGCGAUAAGGCUCAAUGUUAAGAUUUUUAUUUUUAUUUUUUAUUUUUUUUGUAGAGAUGGGGACUUGCUAUAUUGCCCAGGCUGGUCUGAAACUCGUUGUCUCAAGUGAUUGUCACUUUAAGACUUUUAAAAAUAGGCAAUCUUAUAAAGGCUGUGACCAAAUUUAGGGCAAACGGUUUGAGCCAGUUACCAAUAUACUGAAUUGGAGAAAGAAUAGUUAACCGAGGAAAUGUGACUGAAUUAUGUAAGGAGGCCUACAAGAGAAGAAGGAUUCUAACAGUUUGUACAGCGUUUUCUUGGACUACAUUUCCUGUCCUUGAAGAUAAGAAUGUUGCCAGUCAUGUUAGUGCAGGGAAGGUGUCUUUUAGAUGGGAAUUUCAUGUUUUGCUAUUAAGAAACAGAAUGAAGGUCAAAGUGAUUUUCUUUCGCAUCUGCAGGGUUUUAAGUGUUUUUACUUAAAUAGUCAAUAUGCUAGAAUAGCUGAGGAAUUUUGAAAAAAAAAAAAGAGUUUAGCUUAGAGAAGGUAAAUUCUCUAAGAGGAGGAGUUGUAAGAAGAGAGAAAGACAGCUCUGGAAAGAGUCUCAGCUCGCUCCAACAUUAUUUCGUAACGGGAAUCUUCGAGUCCUGAAUAAUUUUUUUUAGCCUCAAGAUAUCAAUAAAAUAUGCAUAUUUUAUUUGGAGCGUGUGAUCCUAUAGCCAUAGGCUUUUAGGUUAGUUUUAAGAACAGCAGACUGUUUGAAUGAUCCCUACAAUAUUUGAACAUGUUACCAGCUGGAACCUCGGAAAAUAUCUUGGCAUGCCUUUGCAGUUUGAGAGCUCAUUUCAUGGGUUCUCUAGUUUAAUGCCAAAUACACAAAGCCAAUUAAAUUCAAGCACCGAAUGUGCAGAGGCCAAAUAAAUGCAAGAGCCGAUGGAAAAUAAAGUAUGGACUUCGCGGGGAGGACGCCAGGUCUUCUCCAGAUGAAGGAGAAAAAUCCCCUCAUCCAAACCUUGGAGCCGAUGGAAAAUAAAGUAUGGACUUCGCGGGGAGGACGCCAGGUCUUCUCCAGAUGAAGGAGAAAAAUCCCCUCAUCCAAACCUUGGAGCUGAGAUCAACAGGAGAAAAAUAACUUUCCCCUACAGGAGAUCUUUCAAAACAGGAGUGGGAGAAACCCUACCCAACCAAAUCACAAACAAAACGGAACUCAAACAAAAUCAAGGGGGAAAAGAGGCCACCUGCAGGGUUCAAAAGGCGCCACUGUGGGUACCCCGCACGCACGGCAGUUCCAAGAACCAGUAAUUCCUCCCGGGGUGAGUCAGCUUUGGGUUUUACUAACGGCACAGUGUAUGACAAAGUCAAAAAAAAAAAAAAUCAUGCAGAGAAAAAUCUCUAAUUUAACAUUUUAUUUGGGAUACAAGAAUUGCAGUUUGGGGCAUACACACAGACCAGGUGGUCUUUGGUAUGUCUGAGGAAUAGAGUUGAGGUUGGAGAUUUUACGAAAAGGAGAUGCGCUGUGUAUUACUUUGAUCACUGGCACUGGUUAAGUUUCGGAGAGCUGGCAAGUGCUGACUGCUGAGUGGCAGCAGUGGGUAAAACUAGUCUUCCAGGUGCAACCUGUUGUUUCAGAAGGUAUUGGGUAAAACUGGUUUCAGAUGACAGCGGGAAAUCCAGCAGCCAGGCAUGCGAAGUUAUAUUCUUGGAGCAACGUUCUGUGUCCUUAGAGCCUCCCCCGGGCUUGACUCUGGGUUAGCUGGGCAUGACAGGGAUGACCCCAUUCAUACGAUCGGCUUUCCCAGUUCCAUCUAUUAAUUCCGAAUGGGUGCCUCCUGGCUGGUUCCAUUUCUCGCGUGUCUGGAAUUACUUAUUCUCCUCCAUUAAAAAAAAUUAUUCCUUCUGGAAUUGCUAUUCCCAUUUCUUAUUUAAUUCCUGUUUUCCUUUCAGGCCUUGCUGUGUUACCCUGUUAUUUACUGUUCCGUAGACAUUUUAUGUUUUUUUCUUCUUCCACGUUGGUCCCGUAAUUCUUUAGGGCUCUAUCAAGGCUUCAAGUGGAUUUUUUUUUUUUUUUCUUUGAGACAGUCUCACUCUUGUCUCCCAGGCUGGAGUGCAACGAACGGCAGGAUCUUGACUCACUGCAAUUCUGCCUGCUGGGUUCAAGCGGUUCUCCUGCCUCGGCCUCCAGAGUAGCUAGGAUUACAGGCAUGCACCACCUCGCCCAGCUAAUUUUUUGUACUUUUAGUUGAGACUGUGUUUCUUCAUGUUGGUCAGGCUGGUCCUGACCUCAGGUGAUCCACCGGCCUCGGCCUUCCAAAGUGCUGAGAUUACAGGUGUGGGACACGCACCUGGCCAAUAGAUGUUUUAUGUUUCACCCAGCUUGGGAGUUGGAUAAUUAAUCUGCAUUGCCUAAUCCACUGUUAUCAGAAGCUAAUAACAACAACGACAAUAAUAAUUCUUUUCUGUUUAACCUAUCUUUUAUAUCUUCUCUUAUUUCUGCUCCAUAUUCUGGAAGAUUUCUCCAAUUAUAUUUUCUGUAUCCCCUGCUUAUUCUUUACCAUUACCCACUGUAAUACUGUAACUUGAAAUUAAAAAAAAUAAAUAAAUAGAGACAGGGUCUCACUCUUUUGCCCAGGCUGGAGUGCAAUGCUAUGAUCAUAGCUCACUGCAGCCUUCAACUCCUGCUUAAGCAACGCUUCCACCUCAGUCUCUCAAGCACCAUGGACUAGAGGUAUACACCAUCAUGCUCGGCCAAAUUUUUAUUUUUAAAUUUUUUGUAGAGACAGGGUUUCACUAUGUUGUCCAGGCUGAUCUAAAACUCUUGGCCUCAAGUGAUCUUUCCACCUUGACCUCCCAAAAUGUUACAGGCAUGAGCCCCUGCACCUGGCCAGCUUUUGCUUUUACUUUUUUUUUUUUUCCUUAAUGGAGUCUUGCUCUGUUACACAAGCUAGAGUGCAGUGGCUGCUCUCGGCUCACUGCAGCCUUUGUCCCCUGGGUUCAAGUGAUUUUCCUCCCUCAGCCUCCCGAGUAGCUGGGACUAGAGGCAUGAGCCACCAUGCCCACUAAUUUUUGUAUUUUUAGUAGACAGAGUUUCACCAUGUUGAUCAGGCUGGUCUUGAACCCCUGACCUCAAGUGAUCUGCCAGUCUCAGCCUCCCGAAGUGCUGGGAUUACAGGCAUGAGCCACCAUGCCUAGCAGCUUUUACAUUUUUAAUGAUGUAAAGGUAAAGGAGGAUUUAUGAUUAUAUAUUACAUUACAAAUGUAGUGAGAGAUUUAUUUGAGGAGUUUUGGGUAGAAAUCUGAUGAUGUUCCCUUGUAGGUGUUGGAAGUUAACAUGCUAUAUUUAUUCUCUGUUAAGAUCCUGCACCCACACUGUGCGUCUCCGCACACAGGUGGCUGACUUUUUCUGUGAGUUAAUCGAAGCAUAUUAGAGGUAGAGGAAGUAAUGUAUUAAACAGCAUAUGUCUUCCACCUAACUCAGACAUGUAAGUUUACACAUUUAAUGUGGUCAAAUUUAUUUAUAGUUUGUUCUCUUUUGUCUUACCUGCAAAAUAUUUUUUCCCAGGUUCAAAAAAAAAUCUUGAUAUUUAGAUAUUUUAUUGUCUUUUCUUCCUUUCCUUUCCUUCAUUUCUUUCUUUCCUUUCUUUUUCUCUUUUAUUUUCUUUCUUUCAGGGCUUACUACGUUGCCCAGUUUUUUACUGUUUCAUAUACAUUUUUGAAUCUCUGAUCAUAGUCUAUGAGAAACCCUGUUGAGAUUUUAACUACAACUGCUUUCGAUGUGCACAUACAUCGAGCAAACAUUCUAACAUAUAAUGUUGGUUAAUUUACUUUGGUCUUUAUUAAUUUUCCAGUUCCCCACCCCCCACCAAAAAACUGGUGCAUAUUUUGUUAGCUUUAUUCCUAGAGUCUUAUGUUUUGUCUUUUCAAAAUUAAUAAAUUUGGUCAGGAGUGGUUACUCAUGCCUAUAAUCCCAGCUCUUUGGGAGGCUGAGACAGGUGGAUUGCAUGAACUCAGGAGUUCAAGACCAGCGUGGGCAACAUGGCACAACCCCAUCUCUCACACACACACACACACACACACACACACACACACAGAGGCACGCAAUACAAAAAUUAGCCAGGUAUGGUGGCACACACCUGUAGUCGCAGCUACUUGUGAGGCUGAGCUGAGAGGAUGGCUUGAGCUGGGAGGCAGAGGCUGCGGUGAGCUGUGAUGGCACCACUGCACUCCAGCCUGGGUGAGAGCGAGGCUCUAUCUGCAAAAACAACAUCAACAUUAACAACAAAAUUAAUAAAGUUCAUCUUGAGGAACAUUUUUCGAUUUACAGAAAAAAUUAGUAUAGAGUUUCCAUGUAUGCCCCUAUAAAUAAUUUUCCCUAUUAUUAACAUUAUACUAAUAUAUAUGGUACAUUGGUUAAAAUUAAUACACCAAUAUUGAUACAUUAUCAUCAGCUAAAAUCCAUAGUUUAUUCGGAUUUCCACAGUUUUUACCUAACGCAUUUUUUGUGUUUCAGGGUUCCAUCAGGAUUCAUUUUGUCCUCAUGUCUCCUUAGGAUCUUUCUGGCUGUGAUAAUUUCUCCAAUUUUUGUUUUUGAUGACCUGGAGAGUUUUGAGGAGUACUAUGAGGUAUAUUGUAGGAUGCCCUCUAUUGAAACUUUUUUUGAUAUUUUACUCAUGAUUAGCAGGGAAUUAUGGAUAUCACAGGGGUACAGUGUCAUUUCUAUGACAUCGUAUCAAUGAGACACUAACAGUGUGAUUUAUCACUGUCGAUGUUGACCCUGGUCACCUGGCUAAGAUAGUGUACGUCAGUUUUCUCCACCGUAAAGUUACUGUUUCUCAACUUUCUAUACUGUAUUCUUUAAGGGAAAUCCCUAUGUACACCUAACACUUACGGAGUGAGAGGUUAUCAUCCCCUUCUUGAGGGCAGAGUGUCCACAUAAAUUAUUUGAAAUUCUCCUGCAUGGGACAUUUGUUUCUUCUCUACCAUUUGUUUAUUUAUUCAAUCAUUUGUUUUCACCAGAAUGGACUCAUGAACACUUAUUUUAGAUUUUUUUGCAGUACUACUUUUUAAAUUAUGUUGCUCAAAUUGUUUCAGCUUUGGGUAUUGAGAUGUUUUAAAAUUAUCUCCUGUGCCCUUCUGACAUACUCCAGACAAUGUAUGUGUAUUUUCAGUACUUUACUUUCUGGCACUAAAAGAUGUGCCAGGCUCAUCCCCUAUAUUUUCUGCCCUAAUCCUAGAAUCAGCUUUCUUCAAGAAGUUCUGGUUCCUCGUAUUGGAGAGUGGUGUUAGAAACCAAGAUCUAGGUGCGAGGUAUGCUCAUGGCUAGUAAGAAGUCAUUUCUUUUAGGGCCUGUCUGCUGACUGAGCAAAGAUAGACGUGUUUGUAUACUAACACAUCUAUCCAUGGAUAUAAGAUCUUAUGUUUUCUCUUAGUACCAUAAAUAGUAUUUUUAAAAUAAAAACUUUAAAGUGGAACAAAUAUACAGAAAAUGACAUGACACAAAAACGUAUAGUUCAAUGAAACAUUUCAAAGCAAUUCCCUGUGCACCACCAUCAGGUCCAGAGAUAACAGUAUUAAUAGAUAGCAUGAAUAACCUAUUUUAUCUGGUAUUAACAUAGAUCACAGAUAUAUAUUUGUUAUUUUUAUUUUCUUAGUCAUUAUUUCAUAUGCUCUUUUCCCUCUAUACUUUUUCCUGCAUUUCCAAACUUCCAUUUGGAUAAUAUUUUCUUUUAUUGCAGGACUGCUGGUGAUAAAUUAUGUUGUCCUGUUUGUCUGGAAAUGUCUUAUCUAACUUUCAUUUUUAUGGUUAUUUUUGCUGGGUAGAAAAAAUUCUGAGUUGAAAAUUAUUUCACUGUUUUGAAGAUAUCAUUCCACUGUUUUCUGGAUGCUAUUGUUUCUUUUGAGAAGUCAGCUAUUAUUCUAAUUGUUUUUUCUUCAAAACUAAUUGUCUUUCUUCCUCUAGCUUUUUGAAGAUUUUUCUUUUUUUGUGUUUGUUUUCAGGACUUUCACUAUAAUGUGCAGAAGUGUUAUUUUCCUUUUAUUUAUCUCCUUCUAUUUCUGCUGUGCCUGUUCUACCUAUGAUAGAUUUUCUUACUGCAGUUAUGUCUUUAUGACAUAAGGACAUUUCAUUCUAGACAUUUUCAUUCUAAACCUUUUAUUAUUUUUUAUUAUUUAUAUAUUUAGACAUUUUAUUAGACACUUUCUUCUGAUUUGUCUUCUGGGUCAAUAAUUCUCCCUUUGGUUGUGUCUAAUUUUCUGUUAAACCACAGUUCCUAAGUCCUUAAUUUUGACUGAGUUUGUCUAUUUCAGAUAUCCAUUGAUUUGUUUGUGAUUUUUAGUUCUCCGUGAAGGUUUGUAAUCUUAUUUUUCAUUUCCUUGAACAUAUUAAGACUAGUCAUUUUAAAGCUGAGUCUUAAUAAUACUGUUUGGAGCCACUGCAGGUUUUUUUCUGUUGUCUGUUAUCUCUUCUCGAUUUUUGGUAUUAAUGUCUUGUUUCUUCAGAUGUUUGGUUAUUUUUACUUCACAUUGAACAUUGUGUCUUAAAAUCUGUAGACUUCAUUUGAGGCCUAUGAUGAUGUUUUAUUAUUUGGGAAAUAUUUUGUUUUUGGAAGAUGACAUGGAACACUUAGCAAUCUCAACUUCCAUCAAUACAUGUAUACUAGCUUCUUAGCCUCACAGUCGCUUAUUCUGGAAUAUGCUAAUGCCCUAGGAAAAGUAGCCCCAAAUACUAUGCUUACCUCUCUAGGUUAUUUUCCUCUUCCAGCUUGGUCCCAUAACUCUUUAGGCCUCUCUCAUGCCUUUGAGUGGAUGUUGUUUGAUUUUGCAUACAGCUUUGGAGUUGCAGAUUUGGUCGGCAUUACCUAAUCCACUAUUAUCAGAAGCCAAUUAUUUCUUUUUAAAAAAAAUUUCUUUCUUGCUAGUAAACAGGAAUGCAAUUGAUUUUUGUAUAUUAACGUAUAAACCAUUAACUGUUCUCAAAGUGUUUGUUAGCUUAAUAAUUUCUCUAGAUUUGCUGGAAUUAACCAGGUAGACAAUUAUAUUAGUUAUAAAAAGAUAGUGGUUUUGUUUAUUCCUUUCCAAUUCUACUGUCUUUUAUUUCUUAAUAUUGUCUUUUUGUUGUUGUUGUUUUUGACAGAGUCUCACUCUGUUGCCCAGGCUGCAGUGCAGUCUCACUCACUGCAACCUCAACCUCCUGAGCUCAGGCAAUCUUCCCACCUCAGCCUCUAUGGUAGCUAGAACCACAGACAUGCACUACAAGACCUGACUAAUUUUUAAAUUUUUUGUAGAGACAGGCUCUUAUUAUGUUGCCGAGGCUGGUCUCAAACUCCUGGGGUCAAGUGAUCUUCCCACCUUAGCCUCCCAAAUUGGUUGGAUUACAGGCACGAGGCACCAAGCCUGCCAGCCUAUGAAUCCUUAGAUGAGCAUUAAUAAAAGGAAGGAGAAUGGGUAGCCACAUUGUAUUCCUACUUCUUGGUGGUUCUGCUCAUGGUAGUCCUCUAUGUCAUCGUUUGCACCCCACAUGUUGUGUAUAUUUUUCAUUAUUGUUCAUGUUUAAAUAUUUUCUAAUUUAGAGAAGGAAAUAAUGUUACAAAAGCCUGGUACAAACUGGAACUGUGGGAUAGUAUUGUAGUGUGUUGGGCUGCUAUAACAAAAGAUGAGGUGAUUUAUAAACAAUAGAAAUGUAUUGCUCACCCUUCUGCUGGCUAUGAAGUCUAAAAUCCAGGCACCAGCAGAUUCAGUGUCCAGUGAGGGCAUGUUCCUCAAAGAUGGUGCCUUCUGUGUAUCCUCAAAUGGUGGAAGAAACAAACAAGCUGCCCCAGGAUCUUUAUAAGGACACUAAUUCCACCCAUGAGGGCAGAGCCUCCAUGAUCUAAAUCCUCCCAAAGGCCUCACCUCUCAAUACCAUCACCACAGGGGUUAGGUUUUAAUAUCUUUAUCUGCAGUCCAACACUCUACCUCUGAGCCAUAUAUAAAACCCUCCUAGGUUUUAAUGCCUGAAUGUUGCAGGGCCAUACAACAUUCAGUCUAUAGCAGAAACUAUCGUUUUUUAAACUUUUUUAUUUAUGUUUUUGAGACAAGGUCUUACUCUCUUACCCAGGAUGGAGUGCAGUGGCACAACCAUGCAUGGCUCACUUGAGUCUUGACCUCCUAGGCUCCAGUGAUCCCCCCACAUCAGCCCCCAAGUAGGUGGGACUACAGGCAUGCACUACCAUGCUAGGCUAGUUUUAAAGUUUUUUGUAGAGACUAUAUCUUGCUGUGUUAUCCAGGCUGAUCUUGAAUUCCUGGGCUCAAGUGAUCCUCUUGCCUUGGCUUCCCAAAAUGCUGGGAUUCCAUGCAUGAGCCACUGCGUCUGUACAGGAGCCAUAUUUAUAGAAAGACAUUGCAUUGCCAGAAUUGUGUUGCUGAAGCAGGAAGGAAAUGAAGGAUGUAUUCUGACCUUUCUAUUUCUCCAUUCUCUAACUAUCUGCUAGUGACUCCCCUUGGUUGAUUUCAAUUUGGAAGCUGAGCUUAAUGAAGUCUGAGACAUGCUGUCUGUGGAGUUAGCACCCCCAGGACACAGUGCAUAGAAGGAAAGGCAGACAACAAAUCUGAGAUUGAAGAACAGAGAAGAAUAAGCAACUGUGCAACUUACUCAUAUAGCCAUUGGACUAAAUUUGUUAUUUAAACUGCUCAAUUAUUUUAUAUCAUUACUAAUUUUUGAGGGAGCUUAUAAUUUACUGAGAGAUGUAAAAAUUCCUCACUAUGUUUAUGGAUUUGUUUAUUUCUAUUUUUUUUAAUUUAUGCUUUUUGCUUUUGAGACUAUGUUAUUGGAUGUAUGCACAUAUAGAGUUGUUAUAUUUUCCACUUCCAAUGGAAAUUUUUAUCAUUAGGUGUCAACUCUAUUCAUCUCUGUACUUUUAUUGUCUCUAAUAUUAAGUAGCUGACUUUAUUUCAAUUUCUGUUUUUCUAUUAUAUGAUUUACCAUCCUAUGCUUAUUAAUAUUUCUCUGUUUUAGUUUUUGAGAUUUAUUUAUUUUUUGAGAUAGAGUCUUGCUUUAUCUCUCAGGCUGGAGUGCAGUGGCACAAUCAUGGCUCAUUGCAGCCUUGACCUCUGGAGCUCUCAGGUGAUCCUCCCACCUCAGCUUCCUGAGUAGCUGAGACUCUAGGUAUGCAUCACCAUGCCUGGUUAAUUUUAUAAAUGUGUUUUUUGUAGAGACAGGCUAUGUUGCCCAGGCUGGUCUCAAACUCCUGGGAUCCAGUGAUUCUCCCACCUUGGCCUCCCAAAGUGCUGAGAUUACAGGUGUGAGUCACCACCCCCAGCCUUUUAUUGGUUUAGAUAUGUCUGUGCUUAACAGCAUAUAGCUAUAUGUUAUUUCUUUAUUUUUUAAAAAUCCAGUGUAGCAUUUUCUUUUAACUUGAGAAUUUACUCCAUUUAUAUUUGUUGUGAUUUCUGAUUUGUAUUUAUGUAUGCCAUCUGCUUAUGUACUAUUUAUCCUGCCCUUCCUGUUUUUUUUUCUUUCUUACUAUAUCAUUUAAGUGUCCAGUCAGGAAAACAGGGAAUACCAUAUGUAUUUCACAUAAAGGGAAAUUAUUAUAAAAAUAUUAGAAGUACUAGAGGAGCAGAAAGGUGAGCAUGAGGUUACCAAAAAAUUAGUAACUAAAAGUGAUUAUUGUUACUCCUAGGGCUAAAGAGGCCAAAGAGAAAAUGAAGUUGAAACCAUGCUGUCUGCUACCUUUGACAGUUGCCACUCUUUUUUUUUUUUUUUAGAUGAAGUCUUGCUCUGUUGCCCAGGCUGCAGUGCAGUGGCGCGAUAUUGGCUCACAGCAAACUCCUUCUCCUGGGUUCAAGUGAUUCUCCUGCUUCAGCCUCCCACCUCAGCCUCCAGAGUAGCUGUGACUACAGGCAUGCACCACCAUACAUGGCUAGUUUUUGUGUUUUCAGUAGCGAUGGGGUUUCACCAUGAUGUCCAGGCUGGUCUCAAAAACCUGCCCUCAAGUGAUCCACCUACCUUGGCCUCCAAAAGUGCUGGAAUUACAGUUGUGAGCCACCAGCUGACAGCUGCCACUCUUGUUGCCACCAAAUGCUAGGGGGGAAAGUGAAUUCUCCUUCCUACUCUUCAGUCCGCACAAGGGCUUUCCACUGGCGUAAUUCAGCAGAAAGCCAAGUAAGGAGCCUGGUUUCCCACUUCUAUACUCAGGAGUGCAGAAGAAAAAGGCUUGUUAAAUAAAUAUUACCCACCACUCCUACUGUCUUUCAAAACAUUAAAAAUAUCUUAUUAUUCAAUUUUUAUUAUUUAGAAGUUAUGCAUACUGUUUUUCUGAUAGUUACUGUAGGCAUUGAACUUGCAAGACCUGAAGUUAAUUAAAUCCUUACCCUCCCCCAGUAAUAGAAAGAGCAAUUUGUAUGCAUCGUUAUCCAGUAUUUUGAUAUUUUUUCUCAGAGACAUUGUUUACAGAGUAAUUGUUUGUUUGACUUUUAUUCAAACUUAAUAUAAUAAUAUCUUUGCUUACCGUGCCUUCUUGCAUCUUGGAAGUGCUUUUAUUUUUGUCUUAAGUACUGACUUUAGGAUUUUCUUUAAAGAAAAUCUAUCAGUUUACCCUUUAAGAUUCAGUCUAAAAUAUAUGUAUUUUACUUUCAUUUUUGUAAGGCCAUUGCUUGGGGCAAAGAUUUCCAGAGGGACAUACUCUCUUUCUUUCAACUUUGAGAGACUCUUCCACUGCCUUUUGGCUUCUAUUGCCACUGCACAGAAAUCAGCAGUUCAGUCAAUUGCCCUUCCUUUAUGCUGAUCUGAUUUUUCUUUCUGCCAGCUUUUGAGAACUGUUUGCCUUUUGAAUUCUGUAAUUUUACUUUGAUUGAUCUAUUUUGUUUCUAAAUGUUUCUAAGGAUCCACUGAGCUUCAUUGCUCUGAAGAUUGGAAGCUGUUAACAGCAUUAGAAGAUACCCACCCACUCGCUGUGGCCUCCCAACGUGCUGGGAUUACAGGCGCCAGUCACCGUGCCUGGCCGAUUUUAAAUUUCCAGUUAUUUUUUUUAUUUCUAAAGCUUACUUGGUUAUUUUUAAGAUUUCCUAUUUCUUUGAUUAUAUUGUUGAGUUUCUAAUAUUUUAAAAUCCUACUAAACAUAGUUAUUCUGUAAUCCUUGCUGUAAUUUCUGAAGUCUGAGGAUUUUGCGUUGCUGUCUGUGUGGUUCUCAGUUUAGUACCUUGUUCCCGUGUAUGCUUCGCAAUUUUUAAAAUGUAUUUACUUGUUUCUUUUUAUUGUGAGAAGCUAAUAUCUUUGGAAUUUCACCUUUAGGGAUUCUUAAUGCCUCAGGUGAAGGUGAAUUUCUAUACUGGGGACUUGCUUUUAUUCUUCCAAGUGCUUAAGGUCCCUAAUAACCUGGCAACCAAGUUAAAAUCUCAGCUUGGAGUUUUUCAGUAAGUGGUGUAAAUGCAGACUGCAAACACACAUAAAAGCUGGCCAUGUCUUAAAAAUUCCCACAUCACAUGGUAUGCUGUGAUGUGGUUGAGAAAGACAAAGUUUCCUUAUUGUCCUUUUCUGCUUGGCAAAUUUAUUUCUCAUUUUUCUUAUAUUGAAGUAAGGUUCUAGGUUUAUGAGCAUGGGCUACCAUAGACUUCCCAACGGGGGCAGGAUCUGGGCCAGAACCCUGCAAGUGGUAUUCCUCAGCCUUUGUGAGCCACGAGAAAGGGUGGGGCUCCACCUCUUCUCCAUUCCCUUUGGCACCUGGGGCCCCACAUAGCCACCCGAGAAAGAGCCCAGGAGCUCCAGCUUUGGCCUAAGAUGAAAGAUACUUUUGGUACUAACAAGGAUUUCUGUUUCCAUUAAAAUUUCAGCCUCUAUGGAUUUUUUAACCUCCUGCUGUCUCAGCAAUGCAUUAAAAAACAUAUUUUAGCAUAUUAAGCACUUCAGUGUGAGGGUUGUUCAGGAUAUCCAGAAUAUCCAGCCUGCUAUAUUGCUGGAUAUUGAAGUCUUUUAUCAACUCCCUCCUGUCCAUUAAACAUUGAGUUCCUAGAGACCAGGGACUGUGAUUGAUUCGUCUUUAUACCCUAGGACCUGACACACAUUAGUGUAUACAUAGGAAUUAUUAUUUGAAUAAAUGCCAAAACCAAUCAUUUCAAGUUGAAAAA